AGCGAACGCUGGCGGCAGGCCCAACACAUGCAAGUCGAACGAAGCCUUCGGGCUUAGUGGCGGACGGGUGAGUAACACGUGGGAACGUACCUUUUGGCUCGGAACAACUCAGGGAAACUUGAGCUAAUACCGGAUGAGCCCUUAGGGGGAAAGAUUUAUCGCCGAAAGAGCGGCCCGCGUUAGAUUAGCUAGCUGGUGAGGUAAAGGCUCACCAAGGCAACGAUCUAUAGCUGGUCUGAGAGGAUGAUCAGCCACACUGGGACUGAGACACGGCCCAGACUCCUACGGGAGGCAGCAGUGGGGAAUCUUGCGCAAUGGGCGAAAGCUUGACGCAGCCAUGCCGCGUGAAUGAUGAAGGUCUUAGGAUUGUAAAAUUCUUUUACCAGGGACGAUAAUGACGGUACCUGGAGAAAAAGCCCCGGCUAACUUCGUGCCAGCAGCCGCCGUAA
Molecule: ribosomal RNA, 449 nt
Filed under: uncultured bacterium
Lineage: Bacteria
Description: partial 16S ribosomal RNA
Rfam family: Bacterial small subunit ribosomal RNA
Source: RNAcentral